UACAGAGGGUGCAAGCGUUAAUCGGAAUUAUUGGGCGUAAAGGGUGCGUAGGCGGUUUGGUAAGUCUUAUGUGAAAUCUACAGGCUCAACUUGUAGUCUGCAUGAGAAACUGCCGGGCUUGAGUAUGGGAGAGGUGAGUGGAAUUCCUGGUGUAGCGGUGAAAUGCGUAGAUAUCAGGAGGAACACCUGUGGCGAAAGCGGCUCACUGGACCAUAACUGACGCUGAUGCACGAAAGCUAGGGGAGCAAACAGG
This 253-nucleotide ribosomal RNA is filed under the name uncultured bacterium. RNAcentral describes it as "partial 16S ribosomal RNA". It matches the Rfam family "Bacterial small subunit ribosomal RNA", at positions 524 to 776 of the family's 1533-position model. The record is from RNAcentral.